UCUCUCUCUACGUUUAUAUAUACAGCAGAUCCAACUGCAACUGGAUCUUGACCUACAUGGCUGCUUUUUUUAUAAUCUUUUCUUCAGCCACACCAUGAUGGUGUGGUGUCUCUCUUCCUCUUCUUUUUUCUUUCUUUCUUCCCUGUCUUUUUUUUUCGUUGUUGUUGGAUCAGUUUAUUAAAUGGAACCCAAGGUUGUGUCCCAACCCAACCCUUACUCAAAAAGCUAUCAUUAGUGCCACCAAAUUACACAUCCAUUAUUCAGAAACACAAAAUACAAAUCCAUCCAUCCACUCUUGUUCUAAUCCAAGACCACAUAUAAUUAGAUAGUGUUAUUUGUAUUAUAUACACACGCAUAUACAAUAUGAACAUGUAACCAUGUAUACACCAAAUCACCACCAAAAAAUAGAAACACACAAAACCCAUGAUUAAUCUCCACCAAUUAAAGGUUGUUCAGCUUUAAUUUAAUCUGUUUGUGUAUUUUAAUUGCUUGCUUCCCCUUCCCUAGAUUAUAUAUUUUCCCUCUUUUUAUAGUUUACUAGUACUGCUUUGCUACUCUUCAAAUCCUUUUUAAAUCUCUCUCUCUCUCUUUGUGCGUGCGUGUGUGUAUAUAUUGAAUCUGCAGCCUGUAGGAACCGUAUAUUCUGUUAGGGUUCCCUAAGUUGUUCACUUAUAUUCUGUUAUAUAUAUCUGUCGUAUAUAUAGCAAGGCACCAUGGUUGAGGGUUCAUGGUAAUCUUGUUCUUUUCACUGAAUCAAUUCGAUCAUAGCUCAAGCUAAGAAAGGAAAUUGCAGCAGCUACUAGGAUUUGUAUAUAGUCGUUGUUUGCAGGUGCAGCAGCAUCAAGAUUCACACACAGAUUCCACCUCCUUGGGGGAGUGUUUAGGUGCUGAGAAUCUUGAUGAUGCUGCAUCAGCAAUAGACGAUUCACGGGCUUCUUUCCAAUAUAGAGAGAUCUUCAUCCACAGAAAAAAAAUGGUCUGUAGUUCUUGAUAGACUUUCAUGUCUGCAAGUACCAAAUUCCAGCUGGAUGAUACAUUACACUUUGAACAGCCACAUAUACAGAGUUUGCAGGGAAUAUAUAAACUAUUUAAUGCUUUUACGUGCAGUACGUGCUGGUGAGUAGACUUCACUUUAAUCUUUGUUCAAUUGAAAGUCCAAGUACGUGUUACUUAUAUCCAUUAUAAGGAUAUAUAAUUAUGGCUGUGCCUGAAAUCUAUUGAGAUCUGUGGUUGUAGGGAUUGGUUCUCCA
Long non-coding RNA from Glycine soja, 1250 nucleotides. RefSeq lists it as uncharacterized. The transcript is spliced from 2 exons. NCBI's taxonomy places the organism in Eukaryota, Viridiplantae, Streptophyta, Magnoliopsida, Fabales, Fabaceae. The record is from RefSeq and is a predicted model, not a curated record.